RNAcentral lists this ribosomal RNA (1013 nucleotides) under uncultured bacterium. RNAcentral's name for it is "bacterial SSU rRNA". It matches the Rfam family "Bacterial small subunit ribosomal RNA", at positions 9 to 1062 of the family's 1533-position model. The record is from RNAcentral.
GAGUUUGAUCCUGGCUCAGGAUGAACGCUGGCGGCGUGCCUAACACAUGCAAGUCGAACGGGAAUCUUCGGAUUCUAGUGGCGGACGGGUGAGUAACGCGUAAGAAUCUAACUUCAGGACGGGGACAACAGUUGGAAACGACUGCUAAUACCCGAUAUGCCGCAAGGUGAAACCUAAUUGGCCUGGAGAAGAGCUUGCGUCUGAUUAGCUAGUUGGUGGGGUAAGAGCCUACCAAGGCGACGAUCAGUAGCUGGUCUGAGAGGAUGAGCAGCCACACUGGGACUGAGACACGGCCCAGACUCCUACGGGAGGCAGCAGUGGGGAAUUUCCCGCAAUGGGCGAAAGCCUGACGGAGCAACGCCGCGUGAGGGAGGAAGGUCUUUGGAUUGUAAACCUCUUUUCUCAAGGAAGAAGUUCUGACGGUACUUGAGGAAUCAGCCUCGGCUAACUCCGUGCCAGCAGCCGCGGUAAUACGGGGGAGGCAAGCGUUAUCCGGAAUUAUUGGGCGUAAAGCGUCCGCAGGUGGUCAGCCAAGUCUGCCGUCAAAUCAGGUUGCUUAACGACCUAAAGGCGGUGGAAACUGGCAGACUAGAGAGCAGUAGGGGUAGCAGGAAUUCCCAGUGUAGCGGUGAAAUGCGUAGAGAUUGGGAAGAACAUCGGUGGCGAAAGCGUGCUACUGGGCUGUAUCUGACACUCAGGGACGAAAGCUAGGGGAGCGAAAGGGAUUAGAUACCCCUGUAGUCCUAGCCGUAAACGAUGGAUACUAGGCGUGGCUUGUAUCGACCCGAGCCGUGCCGAAGCUAACGCGUUAAGUAUCCCGCCUGGGGAGUACGCACGCAAGUGUGAAACUCAAAGGAAUUGACGGGGGCCCGCACAAGCGGUGGAGUAUGUGGUUUAAUUCGAUGCAACGCGAAAGAACCUUACCAAGACUUGACAUGUCGCGAACCCUGGUGAAAGCUGGGGGUGCCUUCGGGAACGCGAAACACAGGUGGUGCAUGGCUGUCGUCAACUUC